UUCGAUCGCUCAGUAGUCUGUAUAUUCGAGUUGUUGCAGUUAAAAAGCUGCGUAGUUGAAACUUGGGCCUGGCUGGCGGGUCCGCCUCACCGCGUGCACUCGUCCGGCCGGGCCUUCCUUCUGAAGAACCUCAUGCCCUUCACUGGGCGUGUUGGGGAAUCAGGACUUUUACUUUGAAAAAAUUAGAGUGUUCAAAGCAGGCCUUUGCUCGAAUACGUUAGCAUGGAAUAAUAAAAUAGGGCGUGCGUUUCUAUUUUGUUGGUUUCUAGAGACGCCGCAAUGAUUAACAGGAACAGUCGGGGGCAUCAGUAUUCAGUUGUCAGAGGUGAAAUUCUUGGAUUUACUGAAGACUAACUACUGCGAAAGCAUUUGCCAAGGAUGUUUUCAUUAAUCAGUGAACGAAAGUUAGGGGAUCGAAGACGUCA
This 425-nucleotide ribosomal RNA is filed under the name Pleospora sp. RNAcentral describes it as "SSU rRNA". It matches the Rfam family "Eukaryotic small subunit ribosomal RNA", at positions 608 to 1010 of the family's 1831-position model. The record is from RNAcentral. Lineage: Eukaryota; Fungi; Ascomycota; Dothideomycetes; Pleosporales; Pleosporaceae.